Molecule: ribosomal RNA, 253 nt
Filed under: uncultured bacterium
Lineage: Bacteria
Description: partial 16S ribosomal RNA
Rfam family: Bacterial small subunit ribosomal RNA
Source: RNAcentral
UACGUAGGGCGCAAGCGUUGUCCGGAAUUAUUGGGCGUAAAGAGCUCGUAGGCGGUCUGUCGCGUCGGAUGUGAAAGCCCGGGGCUUAACCCCGGGUCUGCAUUCGAUACGGGCAGACUAGAGUGUGGUAGGGGAGAUCGGAAUUCCUGGUGUAGCGGUGAAAUGCGCAGAUAUCAGGAGGAACACCGGUGGCGAAGGCGGGUCUCUGGGCCGUAACUGACGCUGAGGAGCGAAAGCAUGGGGAGCGAACAGG